Molecule: long non-coding RNA, 427 nt
Organism: Nycticebus coucang (slow loris)
Lineage: Eukaryota; Metazoa; Chordata; Mammalia; Primates; Lorisidae
Exons: 3
Source: RefSeq, a predicted model, not a curated record
CAGAGGAGGGGAGAGAAAGGAUCUUGCAGGAAACAAAGAGGCGACACUUUCUGGGAGGUGAGACCUUGACUGGGUGAGAGAAUGAAGGCUUACAGACAUUGUCCUUGCCCAAGGCCCCACAGUUGGCUAAGUAGUAGAGCUGGAUACAAGCCCAGGUCAACCUCCACACCUCCAAACUAUAAAUGCUGUGGUUCCUGAGACAUUUUUGCCUGGCACUUAUCACCUGCUAUUUUUACACGUGUUACUGCCCAAAGAGAGCAGCCUCCCUCAGGACUCAGCCCUGCUGGCCUGGAUUCCGUGAAGGAACAACACCUAACCCUAAACCCUGCUGCAGCAUCCAGUUCAUCUUAAGAACUUCAACAAUUAGUCAUGCAAUUAGUCAGUUUUUAAAAAUCUAAAAAAAAAAGAAUUCUGUCUUUGUAGUCCA